CCUACGGGAGGCAGCAGUGGGGAAUUUUGGACAAUGGGCGAAAGCCUGAUCCAGCAAUGCCGCGUGAGUGAAGAAGGCCUUCGGGUUGUAAAGCUCUUUUGUCAGGGAAGAAACGGUGCGGGCUAAUAUCCUGCACUAAUGACGGUACCUGAAGAAUAAGCACCGGCUAACUACGUGCCAGCAGCCGCGGUAAUACGUAGGGUGCAAGCGUUAAUCGGAAUUACUGGGCGUAAGGCGUGCGCAGGCGGUUUUGUAAGUCUGUCGUGAAAUCCCCGGGCUCAACCUGGGAAUUGCGAUGGAGACUGCAAGGCUAGAAUCUGGCAGAGGGGGGUAGAAUUCCACGUGUAGCAGUGAAAUGCGUAGAGAUGUGGAGGAACACCGAUGGCGAAGGCAGCCCCCUGGGUCAAGAUUGACGCUCAUGCACGAAAGCGUGGGGAGCAAACAGGAUUAGAUACCCUGGUAGUCCAACGCCCUAAACGAUGUCUACUAGUUNUCGGGUUUUAAUUAACUUGGUAACGCAGCUAACGCGUGAAGUAGACCGCCUGGGGAUACGGUCGCAAAGAUUAAAAACUCAAAAGGAAUUGAGG
This 587-nucleotide ribosomal RNA is filed under the name uncultured bacterium. RNAcentral describes it as "bacterial SSU rRNA". It matches the Rfam family "Bacterial small subunit ribosomal RNA", at positions 338 to 915 of the family's 1533-position model. The record is from RNAcentral.